UACGUAGGGUGCAAGCGUUGCCCGGAUUUAUUGGGCGUAAAGGGCGCGUAGGCGGCCCAUUGCGUCCCACGUGAAAGCUCCUGGCUCAACUGGGAGAGGACGUGGGAAACGAGUGGGCUGGAGCACGGUAGGGGGCAGUGGAAUUCCCGGUGUAGUGGUGAAAUGCGUAGAUAUCGGGAGGAACACCAGUGGCGAAGGCGAUUACCUGGGGUUGAUCUGACGCUGAGGAGCGAAAGCUAGGGGAGCAAACGGG
RNAcentral lists this ribosomal RNA (253 nucleotides) under uncultured prokaryote. Its description in RNAcentral is "partial 16S ribosomal RNA". It matches the Rfam family "Bacterial small subunit ribosomal RNA", at positions 524 to 776 of the family's 1533-position model. The record is from RNAcentral.